UCUGCUCUUUGGGCGAUCGCCCAGCACCUUCUUUCGCAGCUGCAGUAACCACUCGCGAAAUAUCAAUCGUGAUUAUCGAGUCUACGAAAAAAGGUGCUGGGAGGAACGUCCGGGCUUCAUAGGAACGCCAUGCGGGUAACGCCCGCCGCGGCGGUGCAUACUCCAUCCUUGUGGUGGACAAGACCGUCGUAGGACAAGUGUCACAGUGACGAUUCCCGCCUUCAAACGUGGGAGUGCAACGCCCCGGGAACCGGGGUCCAGCACCUUUCUCGUUCGUGUGCCAAAUGCUAGUUAACCCUGGCAUUCGCUCCAAACAUUCAGAAAGGUGCUGGAUGGUAAACUCUUGGUGAAGCAAGGAGGAUUUGGGUGCGCGGAAGCUGCCUUGGUUCCAAGGUACCGCAUACCCCUCCGCUCGAGCCGCGUAGUAAUACGUGGCCUAGAUAGAUGAUCGCCUCCUCCCCCGCACCUUUUUGGUCACUUGCGGCAGCGAGCUACUGAAGUUCAGUGGCGAGCAUCCACCUCACGCCAAAAAGGUGCUGGGGGGAAGACAAGACCCGGCGUAUAGAGGAGCAGCGAAU
RNAcentral lists this RNase P RNA (578 nucleotides) under Candidatus Peribacteria bacterium RIFCSPHIGHO2_02_FULL_53_20. Its description in RNAcentral is "RNase P RNA component class A". It matches the Rfam family "Bacterial RNase P class A". From Rfam's summary of the family: Ribonuclease P (RNase P) is a ubiquitous endoribonuclease, found in archaea, bacteria and eukarya as well as chloroplasts and mitochondria. Its best characterised activity is the generation of mature 5'-ends of tRNAs by cleaving the 5'-leader elements of precursor-tRNAs. Cellular RNase Ps are ribonucleoproteins. The record is from RNAcentral. Lineage: Bacteria; Candidatus Peregrinibacteriota; Candidatus Peribacteria.